GCCGGCAUAGCUCAGUUGGUAGAGCGUGUGACUGUUAAUCACAAGGUCCAAGGUCCGAGUCCUUGUGCCGGCG
This 73-nucleotide transfer RNA is filed under the name Thermoplasmata archaeon. Its description in RNAcentral is "tRNA-Asn". It matches the Rfam family "tRNA". Rfam says of the family: Transfer RNA (tRNA) molecules are approximately 80 nucleotides in length. Their secondary structure includes four short double-helical elements and three loops (D, anti-codon, and T loops). RNAcentral also lists the same sequence under 1 other name. Lineage: Archaea; Methanobacteriati; Thermoplasmatota; Thermoplasmata. The record is from RNAcentral.